Molecule: small nuclear RNA, 107 nt
Filed under: Moschus moschiferus (Siberian musk deer)
Lineage: Eukaryota; Metazoa; Chordata; Mammalia; Artiodactyla; Moschidae
Source: RNAcentral
GUGCUCACUUCAGCAACACAUAUACUAAAAUUGGAAUGAUACAGAGAAGAUAAGCAUGGCCCCUGCAAAAGGAUGACAUGCAAAUGCCUGAAUUGUUCCAUAUUUUA